Molecule: unclassified non-coding RNA, 337 nt
Filed under: soil metagenome
Description: partial contains 5.8S ribosomal RNA, internal transcribed spacer 2, and large subunit ribosomal RNA
Rfam family: 5.8S ribosomal RNA (bases 1-120)
Source: RNAcentral
GAUGAAGAACGCAGCGAAAUGCGAUAAGUAGUUUGAAUUGCAGAAUUCAGUGAAUCAUCGAAUCUUUGAACGCACAUUGCGCCCCUUGGUAUUCCAUGGGGCAUGCCUGUUCGAGCGUCAUUUGUACCUUCAAGCUCUGCUUGGUGUUGGGUGUUUGUCUCGCCUCUGCGUGUAGACUCGCCUCAAAACAAUUGGCAGCCGGCGUAUUGAUUUCGGAGCGCAGUACAUCUCGCGCUUUGCACUCAUAACGACGACGUCCAAAAGUACAUUUUUACACUCUUGACCUCGGAUCAGGUAGGGAUACCCGCUGAACUUAAGCAUAUCAAUAAGCGGAGGA